GCUGGGCAUGGUGGUGCGUGCCUGUAAUCACAGUGGCUUGGGAGGCUGAGGCAGGAAGAUCACAAGUUCAAAGCCAGCCUCAGCUAAAAGUGAGGUGCUAAGCAACUCAAUGAGACCCUGUCUCUA
RNAcentral lists this small RNA (126 nucleotides) under Marmota monax (woodchuck). The record is from RNAcentral. Lineage: Eukaryota; Metazoa; Chordata; Mammalia; Rodentia; Sciuridae.